CUGCGAGUGCUAAGAUCCGUAGUCGAAAGGGAAACAGCCCAGACCACCAGCUAAGGUCCCAAAAUAAUUGUUAAGUGGAAAAGGAUGUGGGGUUGCACAGACAACUAGGAUGUUAGCUUAGAAGCAGCUAUUCAUUCAAAGAGUGCGUAAUAGCUCACUAGUCGAGUGACCCUGCGCCGAAAAUGUACCGGGGCUAAAACAAUUUACCGAAGCUGUGGAUACCUUUAUAGGUAUGGUAGGAGAGCGUUCUAUGUGUGAUGAAGGUAUACCGUGAGGAGUGCUGGAACGCAUAGAAGUGAGAAUGCCGGUAUGAGUAGCGAAAGACAGGUCUGCGAGUGCUAAGAUCCGUAGUCGAAAGGGAAACAGCCCAGACCACCAGCUAAGGUCCCAAAAUAAUUGUUAAGUGGAAAAGGAUGUGGGGUUGCACA
RNAcentral lists this ribosomal RNA (428 nucleotides) under Shigella flexneri. RNAcentral describes it as "bacterial LSU rRNA". It matches the Rfam family "Bacterial large subunit ribosomal RNA", at positions 989 to 1435 of the family's 2925-position model. Lineage: Bacteria; Pseudomonadati; Pseudomonadota; Gammaproteobacteria; Enterobacterales; Enterobacteriaceae. The record is from RNAcentral.